Long non-coding RNA from Cornus florida, 545 nucleotides. RefSeq lists it as uncharacterized. The transcript is spliced from 2 exons. Lineage: Eukaryota; Viridiplantae; Streptophyta; Magnoliopsida; Cornales; Cornaceae. The record is from RefSeq and is a predicted model, not a curated record.
UAUAGUAUGCCUAGUAUUUUGUUCUUAAAAACCAUUUUGGCAAAACCCAAUUUUCGUGCAUUCUACUUCCUUUCCAUAGUGAUACCUUUUAAGCUAAAUUUUGGAAGCUUUGUGUUGGGAUUUUGAUGGGGCUUUGUGAAGGAAAAAUGUUUCUUAGAUAGUGAGGGUUCUUUUGAUAUCAAACUUGAGUCAAUUUCUUUUGUUGCUGGGUUUGGAAAGUGGUGUUAAAAGAAGAGGGUUUUGGUUGCAAACAAAGAAGGAAAGUGUUCUUCACCUUCUAGUUGUUGAUUUUGAUCCAUUUUUGGUGUGGUUUUGAAUUGUUAAGCAAGUGUUCAAGCUUCCUUUGAGGUCAUAGCAUGGAUGGUGUGGAGGGUGUUCCUCCUCAGUUGUAGACAGAGUCGGGGCUGGUGUUGUUGUGUUAUAUUCCGCAUAAUAGACUAUGUUUUGUAUUAUAUUUCCUAGAAUUUUCUUGGCAUGUAAUAAAUUUUCUUUCAGACUUUAAAACUUUAAAGUUUUAAUAUUUGCAUCUUAUCUAUUUAUUUUCA